AUACGUAGGGAGCGAGCGUUGUCCGGAAUUACUGGGCGUAAAGGGCGCGUAGGCGGCGCUUCAAGUCGUCUGUCAAAUGGGAGGGCUUAACCCUUUUUCGCAGACGAAACUGGAGAGCUUGAGAAGCAGAGAGGCAAACAGAAUUCCUGGUGUAGCGGUGAAAUGCGUAGAUAUCAGGAAGAAUACCAGUGGCGAAGGCGGUUUGCUGGCUGCAUACUGGCGCUGAAGCGCGAAAGCCAGGGGAGCAAACGGGAUUAGAUACCCCGGUAGUCCUGGCAGUAAACGAUGUAUGCUGGGUGUGAGACUAGCGAUAGUUUCGUGCCGAAGUUAACGCGAUAAGCAUACCGCCUGGGGAGUACGGUCGCAAGAUUGAAACUUAAAGGAAUUGACGGGG
RNAcentral lists this ribosomal RNA (394 nucleotides) under uncultured bacterium. RNAcentral's name for it is "partial 16S ribosomal RNA". It matches the Rfam family "Bacterial small subunit ribosomal RNA", at positions 523 to 918 of the family's 1533-position model. The record is from RNAcentral.